AGUAAAAGUCGUAACAAGGUUUCCGUAGGUGAACCUGCGGAAGGAUCAUUACUGAGUUACGGGUCUCCUUGUGAGCCCGAACCUCCAACCCUUUGUUAAAAACACUUUGUUGCUUUGGCAGGCCCGUCCAAUCCCUUCACCGGGAGACGACCGCCGGGGGCGUUUAGUCACCUCUGGUCAGUGCUUGCCGAUAGCCUAUUCAAAAUUCUUUAUUAAAUAAUGUCUGAAAAAUUAUAAUUAAAUAUAAUUAAAACUUUCAACAACGGAUCUCUUGGUUCUGGCAUCGAUGAAGAACGCAGCGAAAUGCGAUAAGUAAUGUGAAUUGCAGAAUUCAGUGAAUCAUCGAAUCUUUGAACGCACAUUGCGCCCUUUGGUAUUCCGAAGGGCAUGCCUGUUCGAGCGUCAUUAUCAACCCUCAAGCCCGGCUUGUUAUUGGGUCCUUAUCGUUAAAGAUAGGCCCGAAAGAUAAUGGCGGCGUCACAAAUGACCCCAGAUGCAGCGAGCUUAUAGCAUACAUUGAAAGGUUUUUGUGGCCCGGCCUUAACGAGAAGCAAUUCUCAAUUUUUCAAAGGUUGACCUCGGAUCAGGUAGGAAUACCCGCUGAACUUAAGCAUAUCAAUAAGCGGAGGAAAAGAAACCAACAGGGAUUGCCCCAGUAACG
RNAcentral lists this ribosomal RNA (661 nucleotides) under uncultured fungus. Its description in RNAcentral is "eukaryotic LSU rRNA". The stretch from base 252 to 405 matches the Rfam family "5.8S ribosomal RNA". The record is from RNAcentral. Lineage: Eukaryota; Fungi.